This is a non-coding RNA of Paramuricea clavata, 955 nucleotides long. Lineage: Eukaryota; Metazoa; Cnidaria; Anthozoa; Malacalcyonacea; Plexauridae. The record is from the annotation of a GenBank genome assembly.
CUCAAAAAUGUUGUCGAUCCGUACCAUUGGAAUCGGAUGGACUGGGAAUUCACGAUCGGAAAAUAUGAAAUGUCGAUCCGUGAAUCUAGUGCUAAAGCUUGUGUGUGGCUAAGUGAGGCCUCAGAAAUGUUGUCGAUCCGUACGAUUGGUAACGGAUAGACUAGGAAUUCACGAUCGGAAAAUAUGAUUUGUCGAUGCGUGAAUCUGGUGCUCAAGCUUGUGUGUGGCUAAGGGAGGCCUCGAAAAUGUUGUCGAUCCGUACCAUUGGUAACGGAUGGACUGGGAAUUCACGAUCGUAAAAUAUGAAUUGUCGAUCCGUGAAUCUAGUGCCCAAGCGUUCGAGUGGCUAAGGGAGGCCUCAAAAAUGUUGUCGAUCCGUACCAUUGGAAUCGGAUGGACUGGGAAUUCACGAUCGGAAAAUAUGAAAUGUCGAUCCGUGAAUCUAGUGCUAAAGCUUGUGUGUGGCUAAGUGAGGCCUCAGAAAUGUUGUCGAUCCGUACGAUUGGUAACGGAUAGACUAGGAAUUCACGAUCGGAAAAUAUGAUUUGUCGAUGCGUGAAUCUGGUGCUCAAGCUUGUGUGUGGCUAAGGGAGGCCUCGAAAAUGUUGUCGAUCCGUACCAUUGGUAAGGCCUACAUUGGGGGCCAAGGUCGCCUAAUGUCGCCUAAUUUCGCCUAAUGUCGCCUAAUUUCGCCCACUUUCGCCCAUGUGCACCUAAGAUUUGAACUUUGACUGACAGUCUAUUCGCUUAAUGUCGCCUAAUUUCGCCUAAUGUUGCAUAAUCUCACACAAGCAAACCCAUUUUGAGUUUGUCGUCCAUACUAGUCUAUUCCUUAUUUAUUUGUUAGUUUCCUGCAUGUUUUUUUCAUAAAUUAAUAUAUGUACACAAACACAAAGGGCAUGUGCUGUUAGGGCACCAUCUCUCACCAGCAUUAAUGAGGCUUGGUUAUUUGGCG